Molecule: ribosomal RNA, 572 nt
Filed under: Sugiyamaella sp.
Lineage: Eukaryota; Fungi; Ascomycota; Dipodascomycetes; Dipodascales; Trichomonascaceae
Description: partial large subunit ribosomal RNA
Rfam family: Eukaryotic large subunit ribosomal RNA
Source: RNAcentral
GCGGAGGAAAAGAAACCAACAGGGAUUGCCUCAGUAACGGCGAGUGAAGCGGCAAAAGCUCAAAUUUGAAAUCUGGCGCAAGCCCGAGUUGUAAUUUGAAGAAGGUAAUUUUUGGGGAGACGUUUGUGCAAUUUCCUUGGAAUAGGGAAUCAUAGAGGGUGAGAAUCCCGUAGCGCGAACCUCUCUCUCCUUGUAAAAUGCUUUCGACGAGUCGAGUUGUUUGGGAAUGCAGCUCAAAUGGGUGGUAAAUUCCAUCUAAAGCUAAAUAUUGGCGAGAGACCGAUAGCGAACAAGUACAGUGAUGGAAAGAUGAAAAGAACUUUGAAAAGAGAGUGAAAAAGUACGUGAAAUUGUUGAAAGGGAAGGGUUUUAAGAGAGACUUGGAGAGUAAUGAACAAUUUUCCUUCGGGGAGGUGCACUCGUUGCUUUCUGGGCCAAUAUGGGUUUGUGGAGUGGGAUAAAAGGACAGGAAUGUGGCCAUUCGUGGUGUUAUAGCCUGUCCCAAUACCGCUACCGUGGACCAAGGAACGCGAUUCUAGGAUAUUGGCGUAAUCUCUUUAAACCACCCGUCU